Molecule: ribosomal RNA, 435 nt
Filed under: Scutopus robustus
Lineage: Eukaryota; Metazoa; Mollusca; Caudofoveata; Limifossorida; Scutopodidae
Description: partial 16S ribosomal RNA
Rfam family: Bacterial large subunit ribosomal RNA
Source: RNAcentral
UAAAUAGCCGUGGUAUUUUGACCAUGCUAAGGUAGCAUAAUCAUUUGGUUUUUAAUUGAGAUCUGGGAUGAAAGGUUGAACGAGAGCUAUGCUUUAUGUGUAUAGCAAUUAAUAGAAAUUUACUUUUAGGUGAAGAGGCCUAGAUAUAAGAGAAGGACAAGAAGACCCUAUCGAGCUUUUUUAUACAGAUAUAUAUAUAUAAUUAUUAGUAGAGAUUUGGUUGGGGCAACCUUGGAAUUAACUUCCUAUACGCAGUGGUUUAUAAAAGAUGAGAGAGAAUUUUUACAUACAGAGUAAGUUACCGUAGGGAUAACAGCGUUAUUUUUUUUGAGAGUUCCUAUCGAAAGAAAAGUUUGCGACCUCGAUGUUGGAUUAAGGGUUCCUUAGGGAGUAGAAAUUUUAGAAGGUUGGUCUGUUCGACCAUUAAAUCUUUAC